GGUUAAGCGACUAAGCGUACACGGUGGAUGCCCUGGCAGUCAGAGGCGAUGAAGGACGUGCUAAUCUGCGAUAAGCGUCGGUAAGGUGAUAUGAACCGUUAUAACCGGCGAUUUCCGAAUGGGGAAACCCAGUGUGUUUCGACACACUAUCAUUAACUGAAUCCAUAGGUUAAUGAGGCGAACCGGGGGAACUGAAACAUCUAAGUACCCCGAGGAAAAGAAAUCAACCGAGAUUCCCCCAGUAGCGGCGAGCGAACGGGGAGCAGCCCAGAGCCUGAAUCAGUGUGUGUGUUAGUGGAAGCGUCUGGAAAGGCGCGCGAUACAGGGUGACAGCCCCGUACACAAAAAUGCACAUGCUGUGAGCUCGAUGAGUAGGGCGGGACACGUGGUAUCCUGUCUGAAUAUGGGGGGACCAUCCUCCAAGGCUAAAUACUCCUGACUGACCGAUAGUGAACCAGUACCGUGAGGGAAAGGCGAAAAGAACCCCGGCGAGGGGAGUGAAAAAGAACCUGAAACCGUGUACGUACAAGCAGUGGGAGCACGCUUAGGCGUGUGACUGCGUACCUUUUGUAUAAUGGGUCAGCGACUUAUAUUCUGUAGCAAGGUUAACCGAAUAGGGGAGCCGAAGGGAAACCGAGUCUUAACUGGGCGUUAAGUUGCAGGGUAUAGACCCGAAACCCGGUGAUCUAGCCAUGGGCAGGUUGAAGGUUGGGUAACACUAACUGGAGGACCGAACCGACUAAUGUUGAAAAAUUAGCGGAUGACUUGUGGCUGGGGGUGAAAGGCCAAUCAAACCGGGAGAUAGCUGGUUCUCCCCGAAAGCUAUUUAGGUAGCGCCUCGUGAACUCAUCUCCGGGGGUAGAGCACUGUUUCGGCAAGGGGGUCAUCCCGACUUACCAACCCGAUGCAAACUGCGAAUACCGGAGAAUGUUAUCACGGGAGACACACGGCGGGUGCUAACGUCCGUCGUGAAGAGGGAAACAACCCAGACCGCCAGCUAAGGUCCCAAAGUCAUGGUUAAGUGGGAAACGAUGUGGGAAGGCCCAGACAGCCAGGAUGUUGGCUUAGAAGCAGCCAUCAUUUAAAGAAAGCGUAAUAGCUCACUGGUCGAGUCGGCCUGCGCGGAAGAUGUAACGGGGCUAAACCAUGCACCGAAGCUGCGGCAGCGACGCUUAUGCGUUGUUGGGUAGGGGAGCGUUCUGUAAGCCUGUGAAGGUGUGCUGUGAGGCAUGCUGGAGGUAUCAGAAGUGCGAAUGCUGACAUAAGUAACGAUAAAGCGGGUGAAAAGCCCGCUCGCCGGAAGACCAAGGGUUCCUGUCCAACGUUAAUCGGGGCAGGGUGAGUCGACCCCUAAGGCGAGGCCGAAAGGCGUAGUCGAUGGGAAACAGGUUAAUAUUCCUGUACUUGGUGUUACUGCGAAGGGGGGACGGAGAAGGCUAUGUUGGCCGGGCGACGGUUGUCCCGGUUUAAGCGUGUAGGCUGGUUUUCCAGGCAAAUCCGGAAAAUCAAGGCUGAGGCGUGAUGACGAGGCACUACGGUGCUGAAGCAACAAAUGCCCUGCUUCCAGGAAAAGCCUCUAAGCAUCAGGUAACAUCAAAUCGUACCCCAAACCGACACAGGUGGUCAGGUAGAGAAUACCAAGGCGCUUGAGAGAACUCGGGUGAAGGAACUAGGCAAAAUGGUGCCGUAACUUCGGGAGAAGGCACGCUGAUAUGUAGGUGAAGCGACUUGCUCGUGGAGCUGAAAUCAGUCGAAGAUACCAGCUGGCUGCAACUGUUUAUUAAAAACACAGCACUGUGCAAACACGAAAGUGGACGUAUACGGUGUGACGCCUGCCCGGUGCCGGAAGGUUAAUUGAUGGGGUUAGCGCAAGCGAAGCUCUUGAUCGAAGCCCCGGUAAACGGCGGCCGUAACUAUAACGGUCCUAAGGUAGCGAAAUUCCUUGUCGGGUAAGUUCCGACCUGCACGAAUGGCGUAAUGAUGGCCAGGCUGUCUCCACCCGAGACUCAGUGAAAUUGAACUCGCUGUGAAGAUGCAGUGUACCCGCGGCAAGACGGAAAGACCCCGUGAACCUUUACUAUAGCUUGACACUGAACAUUGAGCCUUGAUGUGUAGGAUAGGUGGGAGGCUUUGAAGUGUGGACGCCAGUCUGCAUGGAGCCGACCUUGAAAUACCACCCUUUAAUGUUUGAUGUUCUAACGUUGACCCGUAAUCCGGGUUGCGGACAGUGUCUGGUGGGUAGUUUGACUGGGGCGGUCUCCUCCUAAAGAGUAACGGAGGAGCACGAAGGUUGGCUAAUCCUGGUCGGACAUCAGGAGGUUAGUGCAAUGGCAUAAGCCAGCUUGACUGCGAGCGUGACGGCGCGAGCAGGUGCGAAAGCAGGUCAUAGUGAUCCGGUGGUUCUGAAUGGAAGGGCCAUCGCUCAACGGAUAAAAGGUACUCCGGGGAUAACAGGCUGAUACCGCCCAAGAGUUCAUAUCGACGGCGGUGUUUGGCACCUCGAUGUCGGCUCAUCACAUCCUGGGGCUGAAGUAGGUCCCAAGGGUAUGGCUGUUCGCCAUUUAAAGUGGUACGCGAGCUGGGUUUAGAACGUCGUGAGACAGUUCGGUCCCUAUCUGCCGUGGGCGCUGGAGAACUGAGGGGGGCUGCUCCUAGUACGAGAGGACCGGAGUGGACGCAUCACUGGUGUUCGGGUUGUCAUGCCAAUGGCACUGCCCGGUAGCUAAAUGCGGAAGAGAUAAGUGCUGAAAGCAUCUAAGCACGAAACUUGCCCCGAGAUGAGUUCUCCCUGACCCUUUAAGGGUCCUGAAGGAACGUUGAAGACGACGACGUUGAUAGGCCGGGUGUGUAAGCGCAGCGAUGCGUUGAGCUAACCGGUACUAAUGAACCGUGAGGCUUAACCUU
Molecule: ribosomal RNA, 2904 nt
Filed under: Escherichia coli
Lineage: Bacteria; Pseudomonadati; Pseudomonadota; Gammaproteobacteria; Enterobacterales; Enterobacteriaceae
Description: 23S ribosomal RNA
Rfam family: Bacterial large subunit ribosomal RNA
Source: RNAcentral